CACAAGCGGUGGAGCAUGUGGUUUAAUUCGAUGCAACGCGAAGAACCUUACCUGGGGCUUGACAUGUCCGGAAUCCUGCAGAGAUGCGGGAGUGCCCUUCGGGGAAUCGGAACACAGGUGCUGCAUGGCUGUCGUCAGCUCGUGUCGUGAGAUGUUGGGUUAAGUCCCGCAACGAGCGCAACCCUUGUCCUUAGUUGCCAGCGGUUCGGCCGGGCACUCUAGGGAGACUGCCGGUGACAAACCGGAGGAAGGUGGGGAUGACGUCAAGUCCUCAUGGCCUUUAUGUCCAGGGCUACACACGUGCUACAAUGGCGCGUACAGAGGGACGCCAAACCGCGAGGUGGAGCAGACCCCAGAAAGCGCGUCGUAGUUCGGAU
This 377-nucleotide ribosomal RNA is filed under the name uncultured bacterium. RNAcentral's name for it is "bacterial SSU rRNA". It matches the Rfam family "Bacterial small subunit ribosomal RNA", at positions 924 to 1298 of the family's 1533-position model. The record is from RNAcentral.